AAAAAGACAAACCAUAAGUUUCCGUGUCCAAUGUUUAACUAUCCAUCUUAUAUAAAUUUUUUUUAUAAUUAGCAUUUUCAUUAUUGUUAGAUGAUAAAACAUGAUUAAUACUUUAUACGUAACUUAUCUUUUUAUUUUUUUAAUUUUUUUAAAUAAGACGAACAAUCAAACUUAGACACAGAAACCUAUGGUUUGUCUUUCU
MicroRNA precursor from Oryza sativa Indica Group (long-grained rice), 202 nucleotides. It matches the Rfam family "MIR812 microRNA precursor family". The record is from Rfam. Lineage: Eukaryota; Viridiplantae; Streptophyta; Magnoliopsida; Poales; Poaceae.